Molecule: non-coding RNA, 83 nt
Organism: Oryctolagus cuniculus (rabbit)
Lineage: Eukaryota; Metazoa; Chordata; Mammalia; Lagomorpha; Leporidae
Source: Rfam
GGUGCUGUGGCUCAGCGGGUUAAAGCUCUGGCCUGCAGUGCUGGCAUCCCAUGUGGGUGCUGGUUCGAGUCCUGGCUGCUCCA